This 253-nucleotide ribosomal RNA is filed under the name uncultured bacterium. RNAcentral's name for it is "partial 16S ribosomal RNA". It matches the Rfam family "Bacterial small subunit ribosomal RNA", at positions 524 to 776 of the family's 1533-position model. The record is from RNAcentral.
UACGAAGGGGGCUAGCGUUGCUCGGAAUCACUGGGCGUAAAGGGUGCGUAGGCGGGUCUUUAAGUCAGGGGUGAAAUCCUGGGGCUCAACUCCAGAACUGCCUUUGAUACUGAGGAUCUUGAGUUCGGGAGAGGUGAGUGGAACUGCGAGUGUAGAGGUGAAAUUCGUAGAUAUUCGCAAGAACACCAGUGGCGAAGGCGGCUCUCUGGGACGGUACUGACGCUGAGACGCGAAAGCGUGGGGAGCGAACAGG